Molecule: unclassified non-coding RNA, 378 nt
Filed under: plant metagenome
Description: partial contains 5.8S ribosomal RNA, internal transcribed spacer 2, and large subunit ribosomal RNA
Rfam family: 5.8S ribosomal RNA (bases 1-105)
Source: RNAcentral
GAAAUGCGAUAAGUAAUGUGAAUUGCAGAAUUCAGUGAAUCAUCGAAUCUUUGAACGCACCUUGCGCUCCUUGGUAUUCCUUGGAGCAUGCCUGUUUGAGUAUCAUGAAAUCUUCAAAGUAAAUCUUUUGUUAAAUCAAUUGGUUUCUACUUUGGUAUUGGAGGUCUUUGCAGCUUCACACCUGCUCCUCUUUGUUCAUUAGCUGGAUCUCAGUGUUAUGCUUGGUUCCACUCGGCGUGAUAAGUUAUCUAUCGCUGAGGACACUGUAAAAGGUGGCCAAGGUAAAUGCAGAUGAACCGCUUCUAAUAGUCCAUUGACUUGGACAAUACUUUUAUGAUCUGAUCUCAAAUCAGGUAGGACUACCCGCUGAACUUAAGC